AGUGAACGCUGGCGGUAUGCCUAACACAUGCAAGUCGAACGCCAGCACAGUAAACGCUUGCUAUUACGGGUGGCGAGUGGCGGACGGGUGAGGAAUACAUCGGCAUCUACUUUUUCGUGGGGGAUAACGUAGGGAAACUUACGCUAAUACAUCAUACCACCUACGAGUAAAAGCAGGUGAUCUUCGUACAUUUCCCGAUUGAAUGAACCGAUUUCCGAUUAGCUAGUUAGCGGGGAAAAGGCCACCCAAGGCGACGAUCCGUACCUGGUCUGCGGGGAUGACGAGCCAAACUGGAACUGAGCACGGGUCCAGAUCCCUAGGGGGGGAGGCGGUGGGGAUUUUUGGACAAUGGCGGCAAGCCUAAUCCAGCCAUACGGGGGGGGUGAAGAAGGCUUUCGGUUUGUAAAGUCUUUUUGUAGGGAAAGAAAAGCAGCAGGUUAAUACCCCGCUGUUCUGACGGUACCCAAAGAAUAAGCACCGGCUAACUUCGUG
Molecule: ribosomal RNA, 492 nt
Filed under: uncultured bacterium
Lineage: Bacteria
Description: partial 16S ribosomal RNA
Rfam family: Bacterial small subunit ribosomal RNA
Source: RNAcentral